This is a long non-coding RNA of Balaenoptera ricei (Rice's whale), 489 nucleotides long. RefSeq lists it as uncharacterized. NCBI's taxonomy places the organism in Eukaryota, Metazoa, Chordata, Mammalia, Artiodactyla, Balaenopteridae. The transcript has 5 exons. The record is from RefSeq and is a predicted model, not a curated record.
AGGUGACCGGGUCGGAUUUCGAUGGGAGGGGACUGGGAGCCCAGCCCGAGAGUGCGUCCGGGAAGGACCCUUUUGGAUCUCACCUGAAGUUCUCACCUGCAGUUGCCAGAGGCUGCUGGAUACUUGAGUUUUGAGUUUUUCUUCUUUUUAUAUGCCACGUGCUGCUGGUGGGGUGAGGGUCGCGGUUGGAGUGGGUUUAGAGCUUUCUUGCUGGUCAGAUGGGCUUCUCUUCUUCCGGAGUCUUCAGGAACCUCCCCUAUCCAGCCCACCUGUUGUGGCCUGGCCUCCUCGGAGCACCGUGAGGCCCAGGAUCUUAGUUCCCUGACCAGAGAUUGAACCCACGCCCCCUGCAGUGGAAGCCCAAAGUUUUAACUGCUGGACCACCCGGGAAAUCCCCCACAGGGGACACGGUUCGAGCCCUGGUCCGGGAAGAUCCCACAUGCCGCAGAGCAACCAAGCCCGUGCACCACAACUACUGAGCCCGCGCGC